UUGUAAGGAGUUUCGGGCA
This 19-nucleotide small nuclear RNA is filed under the name Arabidopsis thaliana (thale cress). RNAcentral's name for it is "snRNA_15357". Lineage: Eukaryota; Viridiplantae; Streptophyta; Magnoliopsida; Brassicales; Brassicaceae. The record is from RNAcentral.